This 466-nucleotide ribosomal RNA is filed under the name uncultured bacterium. Its description in RNAcentral is "partial 16S ribosomal RNA". It matches the Rfam family "Bacterial small subunit ribosomal RNA", at positions 28 to 507 of the family's 1533-position model. The record is from RNAcentral.
GAUGAACGCUGGCGGCGUGCUUAACACAUGCAAGUCGAACGAUGAAGCCCGGCUUGCUGGGUGGAUUAGUGGCGAACGGGUGAGUAACACGUGAGUAACCUGCCCUUGACUCUGGGAUAAGCGCUGGAAACGGCGUCUAAUACCGGAUACGAGCUUCCACCGCAUGGUGAGUUGCUGGAAAGAAUUUCGGUCAAGGAUGGACUCGCGGCCUAUCAGGUAGUUGGUGAGGUAACGGCUCACCAAGCCGACGACGGGUAGCCGGCCUGAGAGGGUGACCGGCCACACUGGGACUGAGACACGGCCCAGACUCCUACGGGAGGCAGCAGUGGGGAAUAUUGCACAAUGGGCGCAAGCCUGAUGCAGCAACGCCGCGUGAGGGACGAAGGCCUUCGGGUCGUAAACCUCUUUUAGCAGGGAAGAAGCGAAAGUGACGGUACCUGCAGAAAAAGCACCGGCUAACUACGUG